CCUUUAGCUCAGCUGGUCAGAGCACUCGGCUCAUAACCGAUCGGUCCCGGGUUCGAAUCCCUGAAGG
RNAcentral lists this transfer RNA (67 nucleotides) under uncultured Pygmaiobacter sp. It matches the Rfam family "tRNA". Rfam says of the family: Transfer RNA (tRNA) molecules are approximately 80 nucleotides in length. Their secondary structure includes four short double-helical elements and three loops (D, anti-codon, and T loops). Lineage: Bacteria; Bacillati; Bacillota; Clostridia; Eubacteriales; Oscillospiraceae. The record is from RNAcentral.